Long non-coding RNA from Acinonyx jubatus (cheetah), 2194 nucleotides. RefSeq lists it as uncharacterized. The record is from RefSeq and is a predicted model, not a curated record. Lineage: Eukaryota; Metazoa; Chordata; Mammalia; Carnivora; Felidae. The transcript is spliced from 3 exons.
UAGAUCCCUCCUCAAAAAUUCCUAUUGUCUGUGCUACAAAUUAGCGUCUUCUCUAAAAGGCACUAACCUCUAAUUGUCUGUAUUUUCUCACAGUGCUGCCUUGAUUGAUAAAUUUUCUGGGAGCCGAGCUCCAAUACCUAGUCAGUUGCAUCGGGAGGACGAAGUCUAUUUCUGAUGGUGGUGCGUGAAAGGCUUCCGCUCUUCUAAAGGAGUGUGACACCAACAGGUCGAGUGGGACCUUGGGAUAUGACGUGUGGUCAGAGAAACCUAACCAAGUCAUAUUCUGGGCCUGCCCAGCCCGGCUGGAUGAAGUGUGACUCAUCCGAAUGCCUUGGAGAGAGAAGUGACAGGUGGAUCCUUGGAAGGACCCUGAGAGGAGUGCACAGUGGGACCCUGGCUCCAUGUUUUCACACGGGGACUGGGCUUUCAGGGAAGUCCCUAUUGAGAAGGCACACUGCAAAUACAUCUGCCCAUAUGGUUAUAACAGCCAGGGACCGGGUCAAGUUUAUGGAGAGGAUACAGAGAAAAUGAGAAAAGAAAAGCUGACAGCACUAGAGUAUGAAGAAGGGAGGACGUACAAGAAGAGAAGGAAACUAGAUGGGAGAGCCCACAGCAGAAAUGUCUGAAUGCCACCACGCCCAGCUCCGGGCCCAGCAGCCAUCUCUCUCUCUCAUGGGCAAAUUCAUGUAACCAAUGUUAGGGACUUCCUGCUAAGUUCUAGGCCCAGAGGACACAAGGAUGAGCAAAAUGGACAUCACUGCUACUCAACCAAAGUUCACUCUGGAGGGGAAACAGAAAUAGAGGCAGGACAAUGAGGCUCACAAGGAGGACAUCAGGCCCUUAGGAUGAAACUGUACCGACAGACAUAUCGAGGCCACCCCACCAGCACAGCAGCCUUCUGGUUUGUAGCCCAUCUAUAGGGGACCCAGCCUGAGGAAAAUGCCCCUCCAAACUUUUCUCACCCCAAACCUGGGCCCUGGCUUUGGGCCACAAUCCCUAAAACCUAGCGUUGGGCUCCCACCCUAACUCACCUCAUUUCUCCCUUGGCUUUUCCCUACACUGACCAUCUCUCAGGAUAUGGGCCUUUUCAUCCUUUCCCUGCCUCUUCCUUGCCCACCCAGAAUCUUUGGGAGCAGCAAGAGCAAGAGAAGAAGCCAACGGCUGUCAUUUGCCAUGGGUUUGUGAAAGGCUAUGUCCUCCAGUCUUGCUGACAAAGGAAGGAGGUAGGCAAAGAACGGGAGUCAGCGUAAGGUCACAGCUUCUGGACACUCUGCAGCACACAGAGGUCAAGAGCCUGAAGGCGUUAACCGUUCACGCUGGAAAGCUGAGGAUGUGGCCUGUCGAGGCUCUGCAUGGCGAGCUAUCUUUUGGCCCUUCUGGUUGCCUCGGCAAGUUGCAGACACCGUCUCCCAGAGCUCCGGGCCUCUGUACGGUCUCCAUGUGCACGUGGCUGCAAUGCCCCUUCUCUGAGCUCUCUCCUGCUCAUCCAGCGCCAGAUGCCAACUCCUCCAUCAAAUGAGCCUCCAUGAUGCUCAGAGGCUGGGCCGCCCCUUCUCCUCUGCCCCCCAACACCAGGUCGUCUCCCUCCCUAAUCCCCACCCCCAGACUCAGCAAAGGGGGGGGGCCGGCUCCACAAGCCAAAAGGGGUGGGGGAGAGGGAGCAGGGAGGGGAGGCUGGGAACGCAGAGCCCCGGCCCCCUCCACAUCCGCUGCUGCAAUCACAGCCCACCCCCAGCUGACAAAAGGCCUUGUCAGAGCCAAGGGGUCUGGUGCCAGCCCCGCCCCUUGGAGCAGCGACAGCCGUGUGCUACAUUUGCCCAAUUCUGCAGCUGGGCUAAUUACUGUGGUUCCCGAGCUUGGGGUCCAGCCCCAAACCAAACAAAUUAGGACAAAAACCAUAGGCUUCUUCAUCCCUCUCAUUCCCAGCCAGCAAUUGCUGAAGGACCCCUAUAAUUGAUGACAAUGAAAUAAAACCCCACCACCUGUCCUUACUCCUAAGGACUUGGGAGCCCGGCCAAUACCUCGGCCCACCCCUCCGUGGCCACAGCAACGUGGAGUUGCGCAAUGCUGCAUUCCCAGUGCCAGCAUCACCCCGGGAACAACCUGGGGCCCGUCCCGGCCCACGACAUGAUCCAGCCCAGAAGAAUAAUGCAGCUGGCGGGCAGGUAAGAGGUGAGUGGACUUGCGGCCAGGA